UAAGUACUCCCUCCGUCCCAAAUUACUUGUCGCAAAAAAUGGAUAGAAAUGGAUGUAUCUAGAACUAAAAUACAUGUAGAUAGAUACAUUUCUGCGACAAGUAAUUCCGGACAGAGGGAGUAUGAG
Molecule: non-coding RNA, 126 nt
Organism: Triticum aestivum (bread wheat)
Lineage: Eukaryota; Viridiplantae; Streptophyta; Magnoliopsida; Poales; Poaceae
Source: Rfam